GGGGUAAAGGUUCCUUAGUCGAAAACCAUUAUUGAUUCUGUUUCUGAUGAGGACAUUCAAAAACUUCUUGCUGAAGCCACCCAAGCAGCCAAGAAACAGGAGGAAAGGAUGAUGGAAAUGAAAAAUAAGGGUCUCUGGAUGUUGCUUGCUCCAAGAGGUAUGUUUCCAUGAUUAAAAAGAGUUUUAUAGAAGAACAUAAUAUGGAGGAAAACAGUUUUGUUUAUCAUGAAAUAGAUGUACUUAUUAAGAAUGGUGGUUUAAUGGGUUUAGUGAGUUAUGUUAAGCCAUAUGUUCACAAUGUUGUCAUGGAAUUUUAUGUUAAUUUGCUUCGAAGUGUUAGUGAUAUGCACAACAAGCUGCAUCAAAAGGCUUUUGUGUGUGGAAAGUGGUAUGAAUUCAACCCUCCAAUGUUAAGAAAGGUCUUGAAUUGCUACUGUCAAAACAUGGUGGAGUUGAAUGAGACCUUGGACCAAACUGUAGCGGCCAUAACCAACAACGUGCAUUUAUCUUGGCCUGCAAAAAAAUAAUAUUCAUGCCUCUUCUCUUUCAACUAUGUAUGUUAAGAAAGGUCGUCCUUGCAAACGCCGACUCAGUUAGGGGGAUGCACUACGAGCUGCUGUGACACGGUCGCAGUCAUUCACAGAGGGAGGAGAUGAGUUCACCAAUCAACCUUGAUGUGCACAUGAAGACGAGGCCAAAGAUCAACCCCGACAUGCACAUGAAGACAAGGCCAAAGUUCCAAUGGAGUCGCCAACCUAAAUAGUGCGACGAAACCCUAGGCGUACCCGACACGCACCUGGUUGUGGCACACAUUUGAG
RNAcentral lists this long non-coding RNA (818 nucleotides) under Gossypium raimondii (Peruvian cotton). RNAcentral describes it as "long non-coding RNA (GRAI_LNC006598)". Lineage: Eukaryota; Viridiplantae; Streptophyta; Magnoliopsida; Malvales; Malvaceae. The record is from RNAcentral.